RNAcentral lists this ribosomal RNA (253 nucleotides) under uncultured bacterium. RNAcentral's name for it is "partial 16S ribosomal RNA". It matches the Rfam family "Bacterial small subunit ribosomal RNA", at positions 524 to 776 of the family's 1533-position model. The record is from RNAcentral.
GACGUAGGGCGCGAGCGUUGUCCGGAAUUAUUGGGCGUAAAGAGCUCGUAGGCGGUUUGUUGCGUCGGCUGUGAAAACCCGGGGCUCAACUCCGGGCCUGCAGCCGAUACGGGCAGACUAGAGUUCGGCAGGGGAGACUGGAAUUCCUGGUGUAGCGGUGAAAUGCGCAGAUAUCAGGAGGAACACCGGUGGCGAAGGCGGGUCUCUGGGCCGAUACUGACGCUGAGGAGCGAAAGCGUGGGGAGCGAACAGG